RNAcentral lists this unclassified non-coding RNA (551 nucleotides) under Hevea brasiliensis (rubber tree). Lineage: Eukaryota; Viridiplantae; Streptophyta; Magnoliopsida; Malpighiales; Euphorbiaceae. The record is from RNAcentral.
UUCCAAAUCUUACAAUAGUACCUCGCAUUACUAUAGACAAUGAUGGGCAAUCGCCAGAUCACUCUCAGCUACAAAGUUAGGAGGCAAAAUAAAAUGGGUGGAAAACUAGAAGUUGGCACAAAAUUGAUCUACUACCUCUGUGGAGUUCCAGAUAGUAUUGGGCCACUAGCCACGGACCCAUGUUUUCCCAUGGCUGGAAUGCUGAGGGAGCGUUUUCUGGUUUUAACACUACCAGCGUUUGACAAUCUUCUUCCUCCCUUUUCCACGAGCAGAGAAGAGUAAAACGAGCAUAAUGGCUCACCCAGUGGCUCACUUCUAGUUCUAAGGAACCGGUCUAGAUUCUGCAUAUAUUUAUCGCCUUUCAACGGGUUUGCCUUAUUAACAGUAAUAGGCAGAACCUUAUCUUUGGACUCCUCAUCGUCAUCUGAACAAUACCCAUUCUGUAGCACAUCCUGCAUUGCUAGAUCAUCGUACUCCUCAUCAGAUUUUGUGGACUCCUCGUCAACUGAGCCAAUCUCUUCAUGGACAUGUUUAUCACCAUCAUCACUAUA